Paramuricea clavata is the source of this 73-nucleotide non-coding RNA. Lineage: Eukaryota; Metazoa; Cnidaria; Anthozoa; Malacalcyonacea; Plexauridae. The record is from the annotation of a GenBank genome assembly.
GACCGCGUAGCUCAGUUGGCAGAGCAUUGGGCUGGUAUUCCAAAGGUCGUAGGUUCGAUUCCUACCGUGGCCG